Molecule: ribosomal RNA, 1102 nt
Filed under: Listeria monocytogenes
Lineage: Bacteria; Bacillati; Bacillota; Bacilli; Caryophanales; Listeriaceae
Description: bacterial LSU rRNA
Rfam family: Bacterial large subunit ribosomal RNA
Source: RNAcentral
GCUUUCCCUCCAGAGUGGAUCCUGAGUACGGCGGAACACGUGAAAUUCCGUCGGAAUCCGGGAGGACCAUCUCCCAAGGCUAAAUACUCCCUAGUGACCGAUAGUGAACCAGUACCGUGAGGGAAAGGUGAAAAGCACCCCGGAAGGGGAGUGAAACAGUUCCUGAAACCGUGUGCCUACAAGUAGUUAGAGCCCGUUAAUGGGUGAUAGCGUGCCUUUUGUAGAAUGAACCGGCGAGUUACGAUUUGUUGCAAGGUUAAGCGGAAAAAGCGGAGCCGUAGCGAAAGCGAGUCUGAAUAGGGCGCAUAAGUAACAGGUCGUAGACCCGAAACCAGGUGAUCUACCCAUGACCAGGAUGAAGGUAAGGUAAUACUUACUGGAGGUCCGAACACACGCACGUUGAAAAGUGCGGGGAUGAGGUGUGGGUAGCGGAGAAAUUCCAAUCGAACUUGGAGAUAGCUGGUUCUCUCCGAAAUAGCUUUAGGGCUAGCCUCGAGGUAAAGAGUCAUGGAGGUAGAGCACUGUUUGGACUAGGGGCCCUUCUCGGGUUACCGAAUUCAGAUAAACUCCGAAUGCCAUGUACUUAUACUCGGGAGUCAGACUGCGAGUGAUAAGAUCCGUAGUCGAAAGGGAAACAGCCCAGACCACCAGUUAAGGUCCCCAAAUAUAUGUUAAGUGGAAAAGGAUGUGGGGUUGCUUAGACAACCAGGAUGUUGGCUUAGAAGCAGCCACCAUUGAAAGAGUGCGUAAUAGCUCACUGGUCGAGUGACCCCGCGCCGAAAAUGUACCGGGGCUAAACAUAUUACCGAAACUGUGGAUGAACCUCUUUAGAGGUUCGUGGUAGGAGAGCGUUCUAAGGGCGGUGAAGUCAGACCGGAAGGACUGGUGGAGCGCUUAGAAGUGAGAAUGCCGGUAUGAGUAGCGAAAGAAGGGUGAGAAUCCCUUCCACCGAAUAUCUAAGGUUGCCUGAGGAAGGCUCGUCCGCUCAGGGUUAGUCGGGACCUAAGCCGAGGCCGAUAGGCGUAGGCGAUGGACAACAGGUAGAGAUUCCUGUACCAGUGCUAAUUGUUUAACCGAUGGGGUGACACAGAAGGAUAGGGAA